Dipodomys ordii (Ord's kangaroo rat) is the source of this 212-nucleotide unclassified non-coding RNA. Ensembl annotates it as predicted gene, 27660. The record is from Ensembl. NCBI's taxonomy places the organism in Eukaryota, Metazoa, Chordata, Mammalia, Rodentia, Heteromyidae.
UUAACUUGUUAAUCAUAAAAAUUGUUCUCCAAAAAAGUAUACUCGAUACAUCCGGAUGGAGGAUUAUAAUUAUAAAUGAAAGCAAAAUAGCCUUUCCUGAAAGAAGUGAAAUUCCUUUCUAACUAGCAGUAGAGGCAAUAGUAGAAAUGAAAAUACUGUUUGUAAAGACAUGGAGAAGUGUGAGAAUUGGGAUUUUAUCACUGACCAUCUGG